UUACUCACUCUCACGUUUAAACAAUAUUCAAAAACCUAAGAAACCACCACUCACUCAUUCUCACGUUGUAGCUACUCAACUUCAAACACCUAAAAAUCACUUCGUUCUUCUCUUUGUUCAACCGUGUUCUGUUGCCAUCCCCGCAUCUUCGUCGGUGUUCUAUUGCCGCAAUCUCGCCGGAGCCUAUCGUUGUGGUCUUCUUCAUCUUCACACUUCAACUCAGGCUUCUUGCUACCCGAAACAGGAGCUUCAAGGAAAUCACCACCUUUUGCUUUGAUUGCUUGUAGAAAGAAGGUUUUUCAGUCGCAAUUAACACGUAUUAGAACUUGGAAUCGUAGUUCAUUCGGUGGUGAUAGGACUUUCCCUAGGAGCCUCGAGUAACACAUGCUCAAUAAAAGGUUUAGUUGCUGCACUUUGCGCUCAUCAAUUGUUUGAAGGCAUGGGUCUUGGUGGUAGCAUUCUUCAGGCUGCAUAUUGUCAGGUUGUCUCAGACUAUGUCCGUUGUCAGAUUUAUGGAGUUCCUCUAGGUGGAACAAUUGUACAACAACCGUUUGCUAUUGGAGGUUCCUGGAGCAAGUUCAUCGCGUGAGCCAAAGAAGAAAGAACAAGAGUCUCCAAAAGUUAUGACAGGAAGACGGGCAAUGAGGGCACAGAAAAGGGAAGCUGCUAAUAAGGCAGCUGAAGUGAAGCACCAGAAGCAUUUGGAUAGGUUGGGUAGGAACUAGGAUAUAUUAUUAUAGUAACAAGUUGUUCUAUGAAUUUGAAUUUGUCUUAUCUAAUGGCACCACUAUACACCAAAGAAAAAAAUAUCAUUAUAGUGGAUAAUAUAUAUAUUAACAAG
This is a long non-coding RNA of Vicia villosa (hairy vetch), 841 nucleotides long. RefSeq lists it as uncharacterized. NCBI's taxonomy places the organism in Eukaryota, Viridiplantae, Streptophyta, Magnoliopsida, Fabales, Fabaceae. The record is from RefSeq and is a predicted model, not a curated record. The transcript is spliced from 5 exons.